This 448-nucleotide ribosomal RNA is filed under the name uncultured bacterium. RNAcentral describes it as "SSU rRNA". It matches the Rfam family "Bacterial small subunit ribosomal RNA", at positions 26 to 518 of the family's 1533-position model. The record is from RNAcentral.
AGAGCGAACGCUGGCGGCAGGCUUAACACAUGCAAGUCGAGCGGGCGUAGCAAUACGUCAGCGGCAGACGGGUGAGUAACGCGUGGGAACGUACCUUUUGGUUCGGAACAACACAGGGAAACUUGUGCUAAUACCGGAUAAGCCCUUACGGGGAAAGAUUUAUCGCCAAAAGAUCGGCCCGCGUCUGAUUAGCUAGUUGGUGAGGUAACGGCUCACCAAGGCGACGAUCAGUAGCUGGUCUGAGAGGAUGAUCAGCCACAUUGGGACUGAGACACGGCCCAAACUCCUACGGGAGGCAGCAGUGGGGAAUAUUGGACAAUGGGCGCAAGCCUGAUCCAGCCAUGCCGCGUGAGUGAUGAAGGCCCUAGGGUUGUAAAGCUCUUUUGUGCGGGAAGAUAAUGACGGUACCGCAAGAAUAAGCCCCGGCUAACUUCGUGUCAGCAGCCGC